GGGGAUAUGGCUCAGUUGGUAGAGUGCUUGCCUUGCGUGUAUAAGGUCCUGGGUUCAAUCCCCAGUACCACAA
RNAcentral lists this transfer RNA (73 nucleotides) under Ictidomys tridecemlineatus (thirteen-lined ground squirrel). Its description in RNAcentral is "Spermophilus tridecemlineatus (thirteen-lined ground squirrel) tRNA". It matches the Rfam family "tRNA". Rfam says of the family: Transfer RNA (tRNA) molecules are approximately 80 nucleotides in length. Their secondary structure includes four short double-helical elements and three loops (D, anti-codon, and T loops). Further hydrogen bonds mediate the characteristic L-shaped molecular structure. tRNAs have two regions of fundamental functional importance: the anti-codon, which is responsible for specific mRNA codon recognition, and the 3' end, to which the tRNAs corresponding amino acid is attached (by aminoacyl-tRNA synthetases). tRNAs cope with the degeneracy of the genetic code in two manners: having more than one tRNA (with a specific anti-codon) for a particular amino acid; and 'wobble' base-pairing, i.e. permitting non-standard base-pairing at the 3rd anti-codon position. Lineage: Eukaryota; Metazoa; Chordata; Mammalia; Rodentia; Sciuridae. The record is from Rfam by way of RNAcentral.